CAGCCGCCUGCCGCGGGCCACAGCAGCGCGCCCAGCGCGAGCAGCCUCAGCGCUGAGGCGCGUGCGCCUCGGGGACCCAUGGCUGCAGCUGCCGGCGAGGGCGCGAGGGCGACACACACAGGGAGAACACUACAUAAACUUGAAGGCAGAUAGCAAGGUGAAGCUUCUACAAGCCAAGGAACGCCAAAGAUUGCCUGCAAACCAUCAGAAGCUAGAAGAAAGGCAUGGAACAAAUCCUUCCAUCGCAGUCCUCAGAGAGAACCAGCUCUGCUGACACCUUGAUCUCGUUCUAGUCUCCAGAAAAAUGAGCCAGUAAAUUUCUGUCGUUUCAGCCACUCAGUUUGUGGUACUUUGUUAUGGCGGCCCUAGGAAACUAUACAUGAAAGCAGAAGGAAGCAAUCACAAAACUGUGUGACAUGAUGCACGGGGCAUACAUGUGACCCCUCAGAGGGAGCAGAAGCCGAGUCAUGCAGUCCUUGAGGGCCAAUGUAAGGGCUUUAGAUUUGCCCUUGGGUCAAAGGAGGGAAGAUAGUGGAGAGACAAGCCAGGAGGUCCAUGCCGCUGGCAGAAGGCACGUAAGGAUUUUAUUUUUAGUUUUUUAAACCACAGAAGAGGACAUAUUCUUCCCCACCUGAACUCUUUUCUUCUAGCAGGAUGGAGGCUUCCUUAACUGGAAACAGCUAAGAGAUGGAGCAAAGCCCCAAGAUCCUUGGCAGCAGAGGGAAGAUAAGGAAGAUGUACAAGUACCCCUGGAAGGGUCUUACACUGGAGUGCAUGCCCUGGUCCGGCUGCUCCCCCAUUCGUGUUGCUCCAGGUGCCGCCCAGGCCACGCCAAGCUGCUGUGGGAAGAAGACCAUGGAUGGGGGCAUUUUGAUUUCACGUAUUUGAUGAUUUUUAGCCAGAAUGUCUGUGAAUGAAAUUAUAACAGUUAGGUGAAUUAAACUGUUUUUAAAGCAAUGAUCCUUUUUCUCCCCCAGCAGAGUUUAAAACUCAAGAAGGGAAUUUAUAUUUGGGCCAAUAAGAAGAAACCAAAGAAUUGAUAAGAAGCUUGGCAUGAGACCAAGGUCUUCCAAUCUUCCAAAGGCAAAAAACUAGAUUCUAGAAAGGAGCAGGGAGUUGCCAUUCUUUGGCAAUGUGCUCAUUUAAAAAUAAUAUUUAUUUUUCUGCCAAAACUGUUUUUUCCAAAUUUGAGGAUUUUUGUAUCGAAUGCCCUUUAAAUUUCAAAAGUUUUUUUUUUUUAAACAUUGCAAUAAAACUGGAAAGAUCUAUGGAUUUACCUUGAUUUUAAAGAAUAUAAUUUUGUGUUUCAUUCUGUAGUGAUACACGCAGUUAUUACAGAGUGAAAAAUUGGAAAUUUGGUGUACAGUAAGUAUUUGGAUUUUUACACUAAAACCAAAAAUGAUAAAUACUAUGCAAAUGUGAUAAAACAUGGGAUUUCAAUUGCAAUUAGAGUGUAUUAUAAUGGGAAAAAAUAGUGUCUUUUAAGAAGGAAAUAGUUCUAGCAGGACCCUGGACUUAUAUGAAUCUAUAAAAUUUUCCUCUCAAACAUUCUGAGUAAGAUUCAUUUUACAGUCAGUGUUUAUUUUUUGUUUUUGCUUUUUCCUUUCAUAUGUUUUGGUUAUAUAUUAUAAUAUUUUAAAUUGGCUUGGGAGAAUUUGAACUCAUAAUUUUAAAGUAACUGAUAUUUGUAUUUAUUCAGUGACUUCUGAGAAUUUGCAGUUCUACACUAUGUUUAUCUGUAAUUAAAAUAAGGAUCCUGAUAAUGUGAAUUUCACCCAGGAAUCUUUUGAACAAAA
Molecule: long non-coding RNA, 1796 nt
Organism: Aethalodelphis obliquidens (Pacific white-sided dolphin)
Lineage: Eukaryota; Metazoa; Chordata; Mammalia; Artiodactyla; Delphinidae
Exons: 2
Source: RefSeq, a predicted model, not a curated record